CUGUCCGUCCGGAGCAUGAACGCCUCCGUCCUGCGGUGCGUUCAGUGACCUGGCGGCGGUGAACGCAGCCCGCUGCCCGGUGCCGCUGAGCAGCAGCAGCGGCAGCAGCAGCGCGGCGGCUCCGCUCAUCCUCUCUGCGUCACCGGCAACCGGCAACAGGUUGCUGCUGCUCCUGCUGACUGAUGUGUGUGAGGCAACCCCGUCUCGUUCCCGUUCCCGUUACCUCACCGUGUCGGAGCACCGGGAGAAGCUCCAGGGAAACUCCAUGGGGCUUCUUUUCGCGGUAACAUCCACAGAAACGAGAAGGUCAGAGCUGCUGCUGCUGUACAGAUCUCCUGUCAAGAGCUGGGAGGAAGGGUUGGACAGACUUCACUGAUUCAUCAUGUGUUGCUUCUCUGCUCCUCAAUCAGCUGCAGAACUGCUGAGUUCAGCAGGAUUACGGGUCAGCGGGGCCGAGGACGGGUCCGGGGGCCCCGCUGGAGCGAUGACAUCACCCAGAGGAGCGCUGACGUAAACUGAUCCAGCAUCAGUUUGUUGUGCUUCGGCAGCUGUUUGUGGAUCAGAUUAAAGUGUGAAUGAAGCACAGUUUAAUCUGCACGUGAGGACCAGCGGCUUACAUAACUCAUCUGUAAUAUCUGAUCAUGUGAUCACUCACACGCUGUUCUGCAUGGUGUUACUAUUGUGAAUAUUGUACUAAUAUGUACCAAGGCAAAUUCUUCGGGCUCAAUUGAAAACAAAGGGUGAAAGGUAUUUUUAUUCUUUGGCGUUCAAGUCAGUCUCGGGACCUUCAUGGUGUCCUGGUUGCUUCAUGUUUCUAUUCUUUUAUUUUUGCUGUAUGUUUCUUUUUUGUCUGAUUGGUCUGUUUUUCUUCUUGAAGUUUUAACUGCAUUACUUUGUUCAGCACAGUGUCUGGUUUAAAUGAGCUUUAUAAAUAAAUGGACUACUUCCUGCUGA
This is a long non-coding RNA of Micropterus dolomieu (smallmouth bass), 954 nucleotides long. RefSeq lists it as uncharacterized. The record is from RefSeq and is a predicted model, not a curated record. The transcript is spliced from 2 exons. Lineage: Eukaryota; Metazoa; Chordata; Actinopteri; Centrarchiformes; Centrarchidae.